ACUGGGAUAGCUCAGAUAGUAGAUCAUGAGACUUUUAAUCUUGGGGCCAUGGGUUUGAGCCCCACAUUGGGUA
Molecule: non-coding RNA, 73 nt
Organism: Podarcis lilfordi (Lilford's wall lizard)
Lineage: Eukaryota; Metazoa; Chordata; Lepidosauria; Squamata; Lacertidae
Source: the annotation of a GenBank genome assembly